This 74-nucleotide transfer RNA is filed under the name archaeon. Its description in RNAcentral is "tRNA-Ile". It matches the Rfam family "tRNA". From Rfam's summary of the family: Transfer RNA (tRNA) molecules are approximately 80 nucleotides in length. Their secondary structure includes four short double-helical elements and three loops (D, anti-codon, and T loops). The record is from RNAcentral.
GAGCCCAUAGCUCAGCCCGGUAGAGCACUGCUCUGAUACGGCAGGGGUCUCAGGUUCAAAUCCUGAUGGGCUCA